UAUAAAGCCCAGUGACUGAAAUUCUCUAUUUACGGGUACAGCAUGGGCAGCAGCGGUGCAAGUUUCCCCACACUGCUCCACUAGUGUGCCUAACCCUGCCUUGAAGAGCUUAUCUCUAGUUUGAGCCUCAGGCCAAAUCAGUCUGGUCUAUCUGCUGAACCUAC
Chelonoidis abingdonii (Abingdon island giant tortoise) is the source of this 164-nucleotide unclassified non-coding RNA. The record is from Ensembl. Lineage: Eukaryota; Metazoa; Chordata; Testudines; Testudinidae.